GGGGUUGUGGCUCAGUGGUAGAGUGCUCACUUGGCACAAGUGAGGCGCUGGGUUGGAUCCUCAGCACCACA
RNAcentral lists this transfer RNA (71 nucleotides) under Marmota monax (woodchuck). Its description in RNAcentral is "tRNA.Ala". The record is from RNAcentral. Lineage: Eukaryota; Metazoa; Chordata; Mammalia; Rodentia; Sciuridae.